RNAcentral lists this non-coding RNA (147 nucleotides) under uncultured Anaeroplasma sp. The record is from RNAcentral. Lineage: Bacteria; Bacillati; Mycoplasmatota; Mollicutes; Anaeroplasmatales; Anaeroplasmataceae.
AAAGAAGCAAUAGCGAAAUCGUGGCCCAAUGAGUAGAAACUUAAGAUUGAAGGCCCAUUAUGUGGAUAAGUUAACAGAACAUAACAAAGUCCGAAAGACAAACGUAAACCUAAUCGGUAAAUUAAGUUGGUAAACGAGGAAAGAUAU